Molecule: long non-coding RNA, 674 nt
Filed under: Androctonus crassicauda
Lineage: Eukaryota; Metazoa; Arthropoda; Arachnida; Scorpiones; Buthidae
Source: RNAcentral
CCUCCUAUUGCAUGGUUGUACCUUCUGAUUAUUUCUGGUCUUUCUAUUUUUUCACAAGUUGUUUGCUUGAACAAAGACUUUCCUUGUUGUAAUGCAUAAAUAUUUGUGUAUUUCAACAUUGUACUAAAUAGUUCUUCAGGUAUAUAUCUUUUGAAUAACUGCUCAGGUGAUAACAAUUCAGGAUCCUCAAAAUUUGGAGCAUUAUAUUCUUCUAUGCUGCAAAUAAGAGAUUUCCGCUUUCAUCUGAUGGAUUCCUUUGAAGUGAAUAUAAUAUUUGUCAUCAUCAUCCAGUAUAAUCCUAUUUCCGUCUUCUGGAAUAUUCAGUUGACAGUAGUUUUGUGUAGUUUCAUUUCCAUCUUCAUCAGGAAAAGGAUCAAUGAUAUUCUCAGUUUUUCUUACUUUUUCUGCUCCAACACGUUUUCUGUUCAAAUACAGAUGGAAUAUAUCAUCUUCAAUUUUAUUGUCAGAUAAUUCACAUUCUGAAUCAAGACCAUCCCCUAACAUAUCUAAAAUUGUUUCCAAAUCAUUUUCGACGGAAAGUUGUUUAGUAGUUCAUCUAUGACGAGGUAAUAAGAUCAAAUGUUAUGUUACUCUUACAUAAAUCCAUGUAAAAUAUCUGAAUUUACAAAUAUUAAAUUAAACCACAAAAAGAAUAAUUAAAUCUAAUAACAUAA